AGUGAACGCUGGCGGCAGGCCUAACACAUGCAAGUCGAGCGGCAGCGCGUCCGACCACCCUCGGGUGGUCGGAUGGCGGCGAGCGGCGGACGGGUGAGGAAUGCAUCGGAAUCUGCCUCGUUGUGGGGGAUAACGUAGGGAAACUUACGCUAAUACUGCAUACGACCUACGGGUGAAAGUGGGGGACCUUCGGGCCUCACGCGAUGAGAUGAGCCGAUGCCGGAUUAGCUAGUUGGCGGGGUAAAGGCCCACCAAGGCGACGAUCCGUAGCUGGUCUGAGAGGAUGAUCAGCCACACUGGAACUGAGACACGGUCCAGACUCCUACGGGAGGCAGCAGUGGGGAAUAUUGGACAAUGGGGGCAACCCUGAUCCAGCCAUGCCGCGUGUGUGAAGAAGG
Molecule: ribosomal RNA, 398 nt
Filed under: uncultured bacterium
Lineage: Bacteria
Description: bacterial SSU rRNA
Rfam family: Bacterial small subunit ribosomal RNA
Source: RNAcentral